AUACGGAGGAUCCGAGCGUUAUCCGGAUUUAUUGGGUUUAAAGGGUGCGCAGGCGGCCAUUUAAGUCAGCGGUUAAAUCGUGGGGCUCAACCCCAUUCUGCCGUUGAUACUGGGUGGCUUGAUUGCGGUCGAGGUUGGCGGAAUUCGUUGUGUAGCGGGGAAAUGCAUAGAUAUGACGAAGAACACCGAUUGCGUAGGCAGCUGACCAGAUCGCAAAUGACGCUCAUGCACGAAAGUGCGGGGAUCGAACAGGAUUAGAUACCCUGGUAGUCCGCACAGUAAACGAUGAAUACUUGUUUUCGGCGAUAUAAUGUCGGAGGCAAAGCGAAAGCGAUAAGUAUUCCACCUGGGGAGUACGCCGGCAACGGUGAAACUCAAAUGAAUUGGCGGGG
This 392-nucleotide ribosomal RNA is filed under the name uncultured bacterium. RNAcentral's name for it is "partial 16S ribosomal RNA". It matches the Rfam family "Bacterial small subunit ribosomal RNA", at positions 523 to 918 of the family's 1533-position model. The record is from RNAcentral.